CAGUAGCCGCGGUAAUACGAAGGGUGCAAGCGUUACUCGGAAUUACUGGGCGUAAAGCGUGCGUAGGUGGUGGUUUAAGUCCGUUGUGAAAGCCCUGGGCUCAACCUGGGAAUUGCAGUGGAUACUGGGUCACUAGAGUGUGGUAGAGGAUAGUGGAAUUUCCGGUGUAGCAGUGAAAUGCGUAGAGAUCGGAAGGAACAUCUGUGGCGAAGGCGACUAUCUGGGCCAACACUGACACUGAGGCACGAAAGCGUGGGGAGCAAACAGGAUUAGAUACCCCCGUAGUCCUGUCUCUUAUACC
RNAcentral lists this ribosomal RNA (301 nucleotides) under uncultured bacterium. RNAcentral's name for it is "partial 16S ribosomal RNA". It matches the Rfam family "Bacterial small subunit ribosomal RNA", at positions 509 to 808 of the family's 1533-position model. The record is from RNAcentral.